UGGGGAAUUUUCCGCAAUGGGCGAAAGCCUGACGGAGUGACGCCGCGUGUGGGAUGAAGGCCUUCGGGUCGUAAACCACUGUCAGUGGGAAAGAUGGGUGUCGGCGUGAUAACCGCCGGCAUCUGACGGUACCUGCAGAGGAAGCCCCGGCUAACUCUGUGCCAGCAGCCGCGGUAAGACAGAGGGGGCAAGCGUUGCUCGGAAUUACUGGGCGUAAAGGGCGCGUAGGCGGGAUGGCAAGUCGGUCGUGAAAUCCCUCGGCUCAACUGAGGAGCGUCGAUCGAAACUGCCGUUCUUGAGGGUUGGAGAGGAGACUGGAAUUCCCGGUGUAGCGGUGAAAUGUGUAGAGAUCGGGAGGAACACCGGUGGCGAAGGCGGGUCUCUGGGCAACUCCUGACGCUGAGGCGCGAAAGCGUGGGGAGCAAACGGG
This 430-nucleotide ribosomal RNA is filed under the name Bacillota bacterium. Its description in RNAcentral is "Firmicutes bacterium partial 16S ribosomal RNA". It matches the Rfam family "Bacterial small subunit ribosomal RNA", at positions 355 to 776 of the family's 1533-position model. The record is from RNAcentral. Lineage: Bacteria; Bacillati; Bacillota.